CCUACGGGAGGCAGCAGUGAGGAAUAUUGGUCAAUGGCCGGAAGGCUGAACCAGCCAUGCCGCGUGAAGGUCAGUGCCCUAUGGGCGUUAAACUUCUUUUGUGCGGGAGCAAUAAUGGUCACGUGUGGCCAGACGAGAGUACCGUACGAAUAAGCAUCGGCUAACUCCGUGCCAGCAGCCGCGGUAAUCCGGGGGAUGCAAGCGUUAUCCGGGAUUAUUGGGUUUAAAGGGUGCGUAGGCUGUGCGGUAAGUCAGCGGGGAAAUGCCCCCGCUCAACGGGGUGAAGUGCCAUUGAUACUGCCUUGCUGGAAUGCGGAUGCCGUGGGAGGAAUGUGUGGUGUAGCGGUGAAAUGCAUAGAUAUCACACAGAACACCGAUUGCGAAGGCAUCUCACGAAUCCGCGAUUGACGCUGAUGCACGAAAGCGUGGGUAUCAAACAGGAUUAGAUACCCUGGUAGUC
RNAcentral lists this ribosomal RNA (460 nucleotides) under uncultured bacterium. Its description in RNAcentral is "partial 16S ribosomal RNA". It matches the Rfam family "Bacterial small subunit ribosomal RNA", at positions 338 to 795 of the family's 1533-position model. The record is from RNAcentral.